RNAcentral lists this small RNA (29 nucleotides) under Bombyx mori (domestic silkworm). Its description in RNAcentral is "ovarian small RNA-9529". The record is from RNAcentral. Lineage: Eukaryota; Metazoa; Arthropoda; Insecta; Lepidoptera; Bombycidae.
UUCAUUACACAUGUGACCGGUGCACCCAC